RNAcentral lists this ribosomal RNA (465 nucleotides) under uncultured bacterium. RNAcentral's name for it is "partial 16S ribosomal RNA". It matches the Rfam family "Bacterial small subunit ribosomal RNA", at positions 339 to 795 of the family's 1533-position model. The record is from RNAcentral.
CUACGGGUGGCAGCAGUGGGGAAUAUUGGACAAUGGGGGAAACCCUGAUCCAGCAAUGCCGCGUGUGUGAAGAAGGCCUGCGGGUUGUAAAGCACUUUCGGUUGGGAGGACUGCUUCUAGCACUAAUAUUGUUGGAAGUUGACGUUACCUUCAGAAGAAGCACCGGCUAACUCCGUGCCAGCAGCCGCGGUAAUACGGAGGGUGCAUGCGUUAAUCGGAAUUACUGGGCGUAAAGCGCGCGUAGGCGGCUAGAUCAGUCGGGUGUGAAAGCCCCGGGCUUAACCUGGGAACUGCAUCCGAUACUGUCUAGCCUGAGUACAGGAGAGAAGAGUGGAAUUCCACAUGUAGCGGUGAAAUGCGUAGAUAUGUGGAGGAACACCAAUGGCGAAGGCAGCUCUCUGGCCUGAUACUGACGCUGAGGUGCGAAAGCGUGGGGAGCAAACAGGAUUAGAUACCCGAGUAGUC